RNAcentral lists this ribosomal RNA (253 nucleotides) under uncultured bacterium. RNAcentral's name for it is "partial 16S ribosomal RNA". It matches the Rfam family "Bacterial small subunit ribosomal RNA", at positions 524 to 776 of the family's 1533-position model. The record is from RNAcentral.
UACGUAGGGUGCGAGCGUUGUCCGGAAUUAUUGGGCGUAAAGAGCUCGUAGGCGGUCCGUCGCGUCGAAUGUGAAAACCCGGGGCUCAACUCCGGGCUUGCAUUCGAUACGGGCGGACUAGAGUUCGGUAGGGGAGACUGGAAUUCCUGGUGUAGCGGUGAAAUGCGCAGAUAUCAGGAGGAACACCGGUGGCGAAGGCGGAUCUCUGGGCCUGUCCUGACGCUGAGGCGCGAAAGCUAGGGGAGCGAACAGG